Molecule: ribosomal RNA, 480 nt
Filed under: uncultured bacterium
Lineage: Bacteria
Description: bacterial SSU rRNA
Rfam family: Bacterial small subunit ribosomal RNA
Source: RNAcentral
AGAGUUUGAUCAGUGGCUCAGAGCGAACGCUAGCGGCAGGCUUAACACAUGCAAGUCGAGCGGGAUGACUUCGGUCAUCCAGCGGCGCACGGGUGAGUAACACGUAGGUAACGUACCCUUUGGUGAGGAACAACCCAGGGAAACCUGGGCUAAUGCCACCUAUGUCCUUCGGGAUGAAAGUCGAAAGACGCCAGGGGAUCGGCCUGCGGCCCAUUAUCUAAUCCUAGUUGGUAAGGUAACGGCUUACCAAGGGUACGAUGGGUAGCUGGUCUGAGAGGAUGAUCAGCCACACUGGGACUGAGACACGGCCCAGACUCCUACGGGAGGCAGCAGUGGGGAAUAUUGCGCAAUGGGCGAAAGCCUGACGCAGCCAUGCCGCGUGAGUGAUGAAGGCCCUCGGGUCGUAAAGCUCUGUCGGGAGGGACGAAGGGUGGCAACACUCUGACGGUACCUCGCAAGAAAGCACCGGCUAACUCCGUG